RNAcentral lists this ribosomal RNA (564 nucleotides) under Nocardia sp. 415A08. RNAcentral describes it as "bacterial SSU rRNA". It matches the Rfam family "Bacterial small subunit ribosomal RNA", at positions 93 to 671 of the family's 1533-position model. Lineage: Bacteria; Bacillati; Actinomycetota; Actinomycetes; Mycobacteriales; Nocardiaceae. The record is from RNAcentral.
GAGCGGCGAACGGGUGAGUAACACGUGGGUGAUCUGCCUCGCACUCUGGGAUAAGCCUGGGAAACUGGGUCUAAUACCGGAUAUGAGCACGGUCUGCAUGGACUGUGUUGGAAAGGUUUACUGGUGCGAGAUGGGCCCGCGGCCUAUCAGCUUGUUGGUGGGGUAAUGGCCUACCAAGGCGACGACGGGUAGCCGACCUGAGAGGGUGACCGGCCACACUGGGACUGAGACACGGCCCAGACUCCUACGGGAGGCAGCAGUGGGGAAUAUUGCACAAUGGGCGAAAGCCUGAUGCAGCGACGCCGCGUGAGGGAUGACGGCCUUCGGGUUGUAAACCUCUUUCGACAGGGACGAAGCGCAAGUGACGGUACCUGUAGAAGAAGCACCGGCCAACUACGUGCCAGCAGCCGCGGUAAUACGUAGGGUGCGAGCGUUGUCCGGAAUUACUGGGCGUAAAGAGCUUGUAGGCGGUCUGUCACGUCGAUUGUGAAAACUUGGGGCUCAACCCCACGCUUGCAGUCGAUACGGGCAGACUAGAGUACUUCAGGGGAGACUGGAAUUCCU